UUUGCUACUCAUCGGCACACUGAUGUAAUUGCUGAUCCAUUAGGUCAAGCUAAUCAAUAUGCUUUCAGGACAGAGAACUCGGACCAAAGCCUAAAUAAUGAACGUAGAAACAACAGUCAGUUUCAUAAUAAUGGGUCUAUCUCCAAGGAUGAGAAGGUUUUGUUUUCUCAGCAUAAAGAAAAGAAUCGUACCAUUAGAUCUGAUUCUGGCAAAUGUAAGACUAAGGAUCGUGAUUCAAAUGAAUCUUCCGAUCAAAGAAUAGAUGAGGGGAAAUUGACAUCCGG
RNAcentral lists this unclassified non-coding RNA (284 nucleotides) under Hevea brasiliensis (rubber tree). Lineage: Eukaryota; Viridiplantae; Streptophyta; Magnoliopsida; Malpighiales; Euphorbiaceae. The record is from RNAcentral.